RNAcentral lists this ribosomal RNA (497 nucleotides) under uncultured bacterium. RNAcentral's name for it is "partial 16S ribosomal RNA". It matches the Rfam family "Bacterial small subunit ribosomal RNA", at positions 28 to 507 of the family's 1533-position model. The record is from RNAcentral.
GAUGAACGCUGGCGGCGUGCCUAAUACAUGCAAGUCGAGCGAACAGACGAGGAACUUACUCCUCUGACGUUAGCGGCGGACGGGUGAGUAACACGUGGAUAACCUACCUAUAAGACUGGGAUAACUUCGGGAAACCGGAGCUAAUACCGGAUAACAUGUUGAACCGCAUGGUUCAACAGUGAAAGACGGUCUUGCUGUCACUUAUAGAUGGAUCCGCGUCGCAUUAGCUAGUUGGUAAGGUAACGGCUUACCAAGGCAACGAUGCGUAGCCGACCUGAGAGGGUGAUCGGCCACACUGGAACUGAGACACGGUCCAGACUCCUACGGGAGGCAGCAGUAGGGAAUCUUCCGCAAAGGGCGAAAGCCUGACGGAGCAACGCCGCGUGAGUGAAGAAGGUCUUCGGAUCGUAAAACUCUGUUAUUAGGGAAGAACAAAUGUGUAAGUAACUAUGCACGUCUUGACGGUACCUAAUCAGAAAGCCACGGCUAACUACGUG